This 460-nucleotide ribosomal RNA is filed under the name uncultured bacterium. RNAcentral describes it as "partial 16S ribosomal RNA". It matches the Rfam family "Bacterial small subunit ribosomal RNA", at positions 338 to 795 of the family's 1533-position model. The record is from RNAcentral.
CCUACGGGGGGCAGCAGUGAGGAAUAUUGGUCAAUGGACGCAAGUCUGAACCAGCCAUGCCGCGUGCAGGAAGACGGCCCUAUGAGUUGUAAACUGCUUUUGUACGAGGGUAAACGCAGAUACGCGUAUCUGUCUGAAAGUAUCGUACGAAUAAGGAUCGGCUAACUCCGUGCCAGCAGCCGCGGUAAUACGGAGGAUUCAAGCGUUAUCCGGAUUUAUUGGGUUUAAAGGGUGCGUAGGCGGUCGGAUAAGUUAGGGGUGAAAUCCGGAGGCUCAACUUUGGAAUUGCCUCUGAUACUGUUCGUCUAGAGAGUAGUAGCGGUAGGCGGAAUGUGUGGUGUAGCGGUGAAAUGCUUAGAGAUCAUACAGAACACCGAUUGCGAAGGCAGCUUACCGGGCUACUUCUGACGUUGAGGCACGAAAGCGUGGGGAGCAAACAGGAUUAGAUACCCCAGUAGUC